Molecule: ribosomal RNA, 466 nt
Filed under: uncultured bacterium
Lineage: Bacteria
Description: partial 16S ribosomal RNA
Rfam family: Bacterial small subunit ribosomal RNA
Source: RNAcentral
ACGAACGCUGGCGGCGUGCUUCACACAUGCAAGUCGAACGAUGACGACCGAGCUUGCUCGGUCUGAUUAGUGGCGAACGGGUGAGUAACACGUGAGCAACCUGCCCUUCACUCUGGGAUAACCUCGGGAAAUCGGGGCUAAUACCGGAUAUGAGCUCCUGUCGCAUGGCGGGUGUUGGAAAGUUUUUCGGUGAAGGAUGGGCUCGCGGCCUAUCAGUUUGUUGGUGAGGUAGUGGCUCACCAAGGCGAUGACGGGUAGCCGGCCUGAGAGGGCGACCGGCCACACUGGGACUGAGACACGGCCCAGACUCCUACGGGAGGCAGCAGUGGGGAAUAUUGCACAAUGGGCGAAAGCCUGAUGCAGCGACGCCGCGUGAGGGAUGACGGCCUUCGGGUUGUAAACCUCUUUCAGCAGGGAAGAAGCGAAAGUGACGGUACCUGCAGAAGAAGCGCCGGCUAACUACGUG